Molecule: ribosomal RNA, 253 nt
Filed under: uncultured bacterium
Lineage: Bacteria
Description: partial 16S ribosomal RNA
Rfam family: Bacterial small subunit ribosomal RNA
Source: RNAcentral
GACGAACCGUGCGAACGUUGUUCGGAUUCACUGGGCUUAAAGGGCGCGUAGGCGGGCGGUCAAGUCGGGGGUGAAAUCUUUCAGCUUAACUGGAAAAGUGCCUCCGAUACUGAUCGCCUCGAGGGAGGUAGGGGCAUGUGGAACUUCCGGUGGAGCGGUGAAAUUCGUAGAUAUUCGCAAGAACACCAGUGGCGAAGGCGGCUCACUGGCCCGAUACUGACGCUGAGGCACGAAAGCGUGGGGAGCAAACAGG